CCCUUAGAUGUCCUGGGCCGCACGCGCGCUACACUGACAUGUUCAACAAGCCUCCUAGUUCGACAGGAUUCGGGAAAUCUUUGAACGCAUGUCGUGAUAGGGAUAGAUCAUUGCAAUUAUUGAUCUUGAACGAGGAAUUCCUAGUAAACGCGAGUCAUCAGCUCGCAUUGAUUACGUCCCUGCCCUUUGUACACACCGCCCGUCGCACCUACCGAUUGAAUGUUUCGGUGAAGAUUCCGGAUAGGACUUUUUUGAUUUAUUUCAAUUCUGUCUUAAAAGCUAUCUAAACCUCAACAUUUAGAGGAAGGUGAAGUCGUAACA
This 321-nucleotide ribosomal RNA is filed under the name uncultured eukaryote. Its description in RNAcentral is "partial 18S ribosomal RNA". It matches the Rfam family "Eukaryotic small subunit ribosomal RNA", at positions 1470 to 1796 of the family's 1831-position model. The record is from RNAcentral.